CCACCCUAUUGCCUCCCAAGGACCUUAUGUGGAAUGUCAGAGCUAGGGAGAAAGUGACAGGUUCAUGUGACCCUAUUCCCCACCACAUGAGGAGGCAUCACUGGCUUUCUCACCCCAUCCCCCAGUUGCAGGGUGGAAUUGGGCCUCUGGACCUCCUGGCAGACCAGGAUCUCUAUGACCACUAGGACCUUAGGUCUACUCUGGCCAUGAAGGGCCCCAGGACCACCCUAGAUGCCCAGGAGUUUCUGGGCUGCCAGGAACCCUGUGGACACUGGGCCUUUCAGGGUUGCCCAGCCCAGACAAGCUCCUGGGAAUCCAUGGAGCUCAAGAACCAGUGAAGCCUCUGGGCCAGGGUCUCCUCAAGGACAACCAGGCCAGCCAGGUCUACAGGUGAAUAAUUUGCUCCUAGCACCACUCCACCCUUUCCAACCUGCCUAGUGUCUCAGAUCGUCAGUGAAGGGGACCCUGUAGACAUAAACUGGCCCUGAUUGCCUUGGAGAUAGCAGCAGGGGGGGACAACUGCCGGAUAACGUCGGAGGGAAGACGCUCCAGAGACGUACUUUUUUAUUCCUCUUCCGAGGUAGAGGAUUCCAAUGCAGAAGUUCCUCGGUGAUGACCUUCCAUGUUCCACAGUGACCAAAUAAAACAUACUGAGGGCGAUCAUUCAAGUAGCCUGAGGACUAUCAAGAUACUCAGUCCAGUUCUGCCUCCCUUUCCUGGUGUGAAAAGCUGAGAGAACAGAGAGGCCCAGCCCUGGCCUCUGCUGUCAGAUGGGAGGGCUACUUUACCACUUCCAUUCUGUGGGCUGCAGAGGAAGGAUGUAGGGAGCUGGAGAGUUUAGGGGUGAGGAAGCAGCAAGGGGCUCAUUAUGUUUGCCCAGGUCUUGCUGAUCAAGUCUCCAGCAGGCAUAAAACUAAGGCCAAGCUCCAGUUCCAGCAGCUGCCAUCGGCAGGCACUGGUGCCAGAGAGGGGCAAUUGGGGAUGUCUUAGGGAGCUGGCAGAGCCCCAGCCAUACCACUAGGCCACGAGAUGGGGGAAGGGAUGUCACAUAAAGAGUGAAAAGGAUCCGUGGCCCUCCUCUGCCUCCCCAUACACCAGGGUUCAGCCCCGAUGGGCUUGAGCUCCUCUGCAGCCCUGGUUGGGCUCUGUGGGGGGGAAAGGAAGACAAAGCUGCAGGCAUACCCUGAUUUAAACCAACUCAAUAAAUGAAAAGUCAUAUUUGGAAUUACAGUGUCAGAACUUGAAAAGCCCU
This 1252-nucleotide long non-coding RNA is filed under the name Homo sapiens (human). RNAcentral's name for it is "HSALNT0240479". The record is from RNAcentral. Lineage: Eukaryota; Metazoa; Chordata; Mammalia; Primates; Hominidae.